CUCUCUGUUCUUCAUAAUUUUAAUGUGACAGCCAGACCUGUACCGUGGGUGAAUGAAGAGGUCGAGACUUUGUCUUUGGUGGCGGACCAAAGAAUACAGAGAGAGCUGGACGGAGAAAGUUUAUCAGGAGGUCUCUGAGCGGAUGGCCGCUCACAUAUACAGUAGACUGUAUAUAAAGAGGACAGAAGCAGUGUAGGGAGAAGCUGAAAAAGCUCAAAAGUGACUAUCGGUCCACCCAGGACCACAACGGCCGGCGUGGGUCAACCAGGAGGUGUUGGAAGAGGUUUAAUGGAAGCUAUUUACUGGCACCGCACCGGCGAGCAACAGGAGGGAGACUCAGCCGCUGCAUUGUUGGAGACGUUCGAGGACGGUGAGUGUUUUGUGACUUCAAGAAACUUAUACAUCAUUUAUUCCAUUGGUGGCAAGCCUCUUUUAAGCAAACAAGUAUUUUUUAGAAAGUAACGUCGCUGUCUCCUGUAGCAGACAAUAAGAUAGCUAGUUAGCCAUCAGCGCUAGCCAGUUAGCCAUCGGCGCUAGCUAGUUAGCCAUCGGCGCUAGCCAGUUAGCCAUCGGCGCUAACUCCGUGUUCUGCUUGUAUUUCGUACUGCUGUUUCUAACGUUUAGCUCUCAGAAGCUAAUACUUCAGUCAGCAUGCCGUGUUUUUCUUGUACUUAGGGUGAGUGUUUAUUUCUGUUCAAGAAUCCCUUUCCACAUGCGAAGCCUACUCCACCUCCGUCGCGGAGCCCCCGGCUCCCCUGCCUCCUCUCCACCAGCUGCAGCGGCUCCUCUCCAGCACCAGCUCGGACACCGACACCAGCACGUCACAGCAACGUCUUAUCACCGGCAAGAGGAAAAGGGGCAACAGAAAAUUGGACCUUCCUAGCGUACUUGUGGAGAUGCAGGCUGAGGAGGAGUGGAGUCAUGCCCAGCAUGAUGAGAACAUCUGGUUGCUCCUCAGCGAGGCAAGAGAGAAUGAAGCUGCCUUGCAGCGGGAGGAGAUGGCCCAGAAUACUGCCUUCAACCAGUCAUUCCUGGGUGUGCUGGGGUAGCUGGGUAGGCAGUGGGCAGCCGGCGAGUGUGAGCGAGUCCACCUCCCAUAGACUUGAG
Long non-coding RNA from Amphiprion ocellaris (clown anemonefish), 1107 nucleotides. NCBI's taxonomy places the organism in Eukaryota, Metazoa, Chordata, Actinopteri, Pomacentridae. The record is from Ensembl.